CACCAGUGGAGAUCUACACCUGGUUUAAGGUGGGUCAGUCCAUUCCAGUAGGAUCAGGACAGAAGUACAACAUCCCUAACAUCAGCUCUGAGGAUGGAGGACUGUACUACUGUGAGGCCAGGAAUAAAUAUGGAGCUGGGAACUCAUCUAUUGUGUCAGUCAUAGUUGAAGGAGAUCAAUCCCGUGUAUUGAUUCCAGUGGUGGCAGUCUCUGUCUGUGGACUUGUGUGUCUGCUGUGUGCUUUUGUUGGGGUGAAGAAAAUGAGAAGGAGAAAGAAACCAGAGGAACAG
This is a long non-coding RNA of Clupea harengus (Atlantic herring), 290 nucleotides long. RefSeq lists it as uncharacterized. The transcript is spliced from 3 exons. Lineage: Eukaryota; Metazoa; Chordata; Actinopteri; Clupeiformes; Clupeidae. The record is from RefSeq and is a predicted model, not a curated record.